RNAcentral lists this small nucleolar RNA (106 nucleotides) under Zea mays. RNAcentral's name for it is "Small nucleolar RNA Z107/R87". It matches the Rfam family "Small nucleolar RNA Z107/R87". From Rfam's summary of the family: Z107 and R87 are members of the C/D class of snoRNA which contain the C (UGAUGA) and D (CUGA) box motifs. Most of the members of the box C/D family function in directing site-specific 2'-O-methylation of substrate RNA Lineage: Eukaryota; Viridiplantae; Streptophyta; Magnoliopsida; Poales; Poaceae. The record is from Rfam by way of RNAcentral.
GAUGGAGUGAUGACUCGGUAAUAUUCAAGCUCAACAUAUCAAAUCACAGGUCUCUCUGUACACGAGAUCGACCUAUAUGUAGAUUUUUCUGUUGAGUCGAUCCAUC